UACGUGAGGGGCGAACGUUGUUCGGUGUCACUGGGCUUAAAGGGCGCGUAGGUGGUUGCGUAAGUAACGUGUGAAAUCCCUCGGCUUACCCGGGGAAUUGCAUGUUAUACUGCGUGGCUUGAGGAUCAGAGGGGAAUGGGGAACUCCAGGUGUAGCGGUGAAAUGCGCAGAUAUCUGGGGGAAGGCCGGCGGCGAAGGCGCCAUUCUGGCUGAUUCCUGACACUGAGGCGCGAAAGCGUGGGGAGCAAACAGG
RNAcentral lists this ribosomal RNA (253 nucleotides) under uncultured bacterium. RNAcentral's name for it is "partial 16S ribosomal RNA". It matches the Rfam family "Bacterial small subunit ribosomal RNA", at positions 524 to 776 of the family's 1533-position model. The record is from RNAcentral.